This is a small nuclear RNA of Molossus molossus (Pallas's mastiff bat), 164 nucleotides long. RefSeq annotates it as U1 spliceosomal RNA. The record is from RefSeq and is a predicted model, not a curated record. The transcript has a single exon. Lineage: Eukaryota; Metazoa; Chordata; Mammalia; Chiroptera; Molossidae.
AUACUUCCCUGGCAGGGGAGGUGCCAUGGUCACGAAGGUGGUGUCCCCAGGGCGAAGCUUAUCCAUUGCACUCUGGAAGUGCUGACCCCUUUGAUUUCCCCAAAUGUGGGAAACUUGACUAUAUAAUCUGUGGUAGUGGGAAACUGUAUUUGCACUCUCCCCUG